GAUGAAGAACGUAGUGAAAUGCGAUAAGUAAUGCGAAUUGCAGAAUCCGUGAGUCAUCGAAUCUUUGAACGCAUAUUGCGCCCUUUGGCAUUCCGAAGGGCAUGCCUGUUCGAGCGUCAUUAUCACCCCUCAAGCCCCGGCUUGGUGUUGGGCCCCCGGUGGUCGUACCCGACCACCCGCCUCAAAGAUAGUGACGGCGUCCCAGAGGGAACCGGUACGAGGAGCUUUCACGAGCAUGUACGCGGGGACGACUCUGUGGGCGACGGUCUUUUUUAACCUUAAUAUAUCAAGUGUUGACCUCGGAUCAGGUAGGAAUACCCGCUGAACUUAAGCGUAUCAAUAAGCGGAGGA
This 351-nucleotide unclassified non-coding RNA is filed under the name soil metagenome. RNAcentral describes it as "partial contains 5.8S ribosomal RNA, internal transcribed spacer 2, and large subunit ribosomal RNA". The stretch from base 1 to 119 matches the Rfam family "5.8S ribosomal RNA", at positions 35 to 154 of the family's 154-position model. The record is from RNAcentral.